Molecule: small RNA, 1200 nt
Filed under: Pan troglodytes (chimpanzee)
Lineage: Eukaryota; Metazoa; Chordata; Mammalia; Primates; Hominidae
Description: processed transcript
Source: RNAcentral
CAAUGCGUGCUAUGGGUCCUUUUUUCUAACACUUGCAGAAGAUUUCAGCCCCGGCCACGAUGUUUGCUGUCAGAGGAUGGAAAAGUCUUCCUCAAUUUAUGGUUCAUACCCCAUUCUUCUGAAGUGCUGGUUAUGUUCAAAACUCUGCCAGAAAAGGCAGCUUUUAAAGCCUUAAAGCGAACUCUACAGCUGAUAGCUCCUCUGCAUGAUAUCGUGGCCUACCUUGUCAGUUUUGCUAAGCUUGGCAAUUGUCCAGCAUGUUUUGAAUUUCCUCGAAGUCCCAACCCUUUGAGAGGUGACUGGGGAGGAACUGAGGGCAUUGGGUCUGAGCUUCAAGAGCUGCAGAACAUGAUUGACAGCCUUCAGAGCCCCCAAGACCCUAGCCGGGUGGCCCAGGCACUCCUCCUCCGGAGGGAGGUUAUGUUUUUGCAGUUUGACGCUGCAGUAAGGCAUCUCAUCCGAAGAACAUUUUUGGCAGCUGGAAAUGUUCCUGCCUACCAGUCUGUCACAGACGGCAUGUGCCAUGGGCUACCAGCACUGAGCAACUCUCUCAGGAAGAGCAUUUUUGCCUCACAGCUCAGCCUGCCCCAGCCACUGGAUCCACGGAGCCUCCAGGCAUUUGAGCUGUUUCCUUGGAGAGCAUUUCUGGAAGAUGGAGGACCAUUCCCAGUUAUGAGUAACAGCCCAGAUACCCUAGAAUAUAAUAUGCAGGUAGGAUAGGUCUUCUCCAUUGUUGCAGAGAGAACUGAGUGCAGACUGCAAAGAUGGUUGCCAUUGGGUUCACAGGUCAGAUCCUCCUACUCUCACCCACGAUGAAUAAUGUGUGAGAUAAGCAGCGUGUUUGAUUUUGAGGCUGUAAACCCAGGGUCACGAGGUGAGUCACAUUUUCUUAUGAUAGAAGGGAAGCAUGCUCUCAACUGGCAUGGGCCUGGGUUGUAGACUCAGCUGCAGUUUUCAUAACAGUAGUGAUCUGGGAGAAUGGCCAGUCAUCUUCAGUCAUGGGCUGGGCCUCUUAGAGAAACUCCCAGGCUGGCAGCUCAGAGAUGUGUGACUCCUGACCUGUCCGUAAACAGUUGUGGGAAGGGAACUUUUUAAAGCAGGACUCCUAGGGAGAAUUUCUUUUCAUUGUUUUCUUUUUUGCUGUUAAUUUCCUUUAAAUAGUUUGAUUCUUUUCAUUAUUAAAUGUUUUCCCCUGAUUAU